This 495-nucleotide ribosomal RNA is filed under the name uncultured bacterium. RNAcentral's name for it is "bacterial SSU rRNA". It matches the Rfam family "Bacterial small subunit ribosomal RNA", at positions 25 to 518 of the family's 1533-position model. The record is from RNAcentral.
CAGGACGAACGCUGGCGGCGUGCUUAACACAUGCAAGUCGAACGAAGCAUUGUGAAGGAGGCUUCGGCCAAUGGAUCAAAUGACUUAGUGGCGGACGGGUGAGUAACGCGUGAGCAACCUGCCUUUCAGAGGGGGAUAACGUUUGGAAACGAACGCUAAUACCGCAUGACAUAGCUUUAUCGCAUGGUAGGGCUAUCAAAGGAGCAAUCCGCUGAAAGAUGGGCUCGCGUCCGAUUAGAUAGUUGGUGGGGUAACGGCCUACCAAGUCGACGAUCGGUAGCCGGACUGAGAGGUUGAACGGCCACAUUGGGGCUGAGACACGGCCCAGACUCCUACGGGAGGCAGCAGUGGGGAAUAUUGCACAAUGGGCGCAAGCCUGAUGCAGCAACGCCGCGUGAGGGAAGACGGUUUUCGGAUUGUAAACCUCUGUCCUUGGUGACGAAGAAUGACGGUAGCCAAGGAGGAAGCCACGGCUAACUACGUGCCAGCCGCUGC